RNAcentral lists this long non-coding RNA (8012 nucleotides) under Gossypium barbadense (sea-island cotton). RNAcentral describes it as "long non-coding RNA (GBAR_LNC012266)". The record is from RNAcentral. Lineage: Eukaryota; Viridiplantae; Streptophyta; Magnoliopsida; Malvales; Malvaceae.
UCAACAAUAGCAAUUCAUCAACCAAUAUCGUAUAUCCACAAUUUGAGUUUGAAUAAAUCACGAACCUUAGGUUCAUUUCUCAAUCUCAUUUCACAUUUCAAUUCACAAUUCAACUUUUUCAUAUCAUUUCAAUAGCUCGUUUGACCAACUCGUUCGGUUUAUCAUUUCAUCAUUUACCCUAUUAACAAAACUCGGACUUUUGUGGAUACACGGAUCUAACCAAACACACCAGAAUGGCACCCAGUGCCUCAUCGGAUAGUUCGAAGCAAUAGUUGACACCCAGUGUCUCAUCGGCAAAGCCGAAGAAAGUUGGUACCCAGUACCUCAUCGAAUCUAUCCGAAGAAAUAUAGUGACACCCAGUGUCUCAUCGACUCAAGGUCGAAGUAUCCCUGAACUCUUCCAAUCCUAUGGCAUGCCAACUAUAUCCGACUCAGCCCGACUAGUUAAUAGGGUAUUUAAAUCACAUAUAUUCUCAAUUCAAUCACAAUUUCUCACACUUUCAAUUCAAUCAUUUUUCCACCUUCAAUCAAUAAUUAUUUCACAAAUUCACACAUUUUCACAACUCAAUACAUUUCCAUACAAUUUAAUACCAUUCACAAUUCGAUUCAAAUUCAUUUCCCGCUUUCAAUCAACAAACAAUUCAAAUAUUAAUUCAUAUAAACUAUUUAAUUUAAUUCCCACUCAUAAUAAUAAUAAUAAUAAUAAUAAUAAAUUAAUACUAAUAUUAUACUUACCUCACAUUUCAUUUACUAGACACAUAAAUUAAAAUUUAGCAUUUAAUAAUAAAUAACUUGAAUUAUAGUAAUACAAACCGUUAUUCUCCCGUUUUAGUCCUCGAUAACUUUCUCCUUUCCUUUUGACGCCGAUGCCUCGGGUUCUUUGUUAGCUACGAAAAUAAUAAUUUGUAAUAUUAAUUACAACACUAAUUAUAAUAAAUAAUUUAAUUUCUAUUCAAUUUCUUCCUAAUUCUCAAUUUAAUCCUAACUAAAUUUACUUACUUUCCUAAUUCAAUUCACACUCUAUUUCUAUUCAAAUUUCAUCCAAACUAAAAUUUAACUAUCAAAAUUUCAGCAUAUUUUGCUAAUUUCGAAUUUCCCUCAAUUUAGUCCCUAAAACAUAAAACUCAUAGUUUCUUUUACAAUUUAAUCCCUUUUUCAAUUCUAACUUAAAAUUCCUUCAAGUUAAUCCCUAAUUCAUCUCUUUUGUUCAACAUAAACUAUACUUGAAAACCUAUGAACUUACAAAAUAUCAACUUAAUUCCAUCAAAACUUUGUUUUAAAGCUUUUAAAACAUUAGAAUUAAGAGAAAAGGGCUAAUUUGACUUACCAAUCAAAGCUUUAAACCUUAAACCUUCAAUUUUUCCUUUUUCUUUCUUUUUUUUUCUUUCUCCCCUGUUUCUUCUCUGUUUCGUCUUUGGCUAUUCUGUUUCUUUCUUCUUUUGUUUCUUUUAUUCUUUUAUUUUAACUUACUUUACUUUAUUUCCUUUAUUUUAUUUCUUUUGUUUUCUUUUAUUUAAUUACUUUAAUAUAAUAAUUAAAACAAAUAUCUAUUUAGUAAUUAAAUAUAAGUAUUACAAAUGUAUGUAUUUUAUUAAUACACUUGUAUUAAAUAUCACCAUACAUUUGUCUUUAUUUAAUUUAUUUCUUAAUAUAAUAUUUAUAAUAUAAUUAAUUUAAUAAUAUCCUUUAUAAUUAAUUUAUAUAUUUAUAUAAAUAAAUAAUAUAAAAAUCUAAGAUUUUUACAAUGUUAUGCCGCCUCAACUUCCAAAUGUGGCUUAAUUGCCCAUUUGGUCCCUCUUAUUUUCUUUUGAUCUAUAAUUAAACAUUUACCCUUUAUUCAAUUUAAUCCUUUUUCCUAAUUAUUCUUAAUUAGAUUAAAUUCAUCUAUCUAAAACUUAAUUAAACACACAACUAGUCUCGUAAAUAUUUCUAAUAAUUAUUUUCGGACUCAAUUUACUAAGACGGAGGCCCGAUAUUAUACUUUUUCGAUGCCCGUGAAUUUUGGGUCAUUACAUUUUUCCCCCCUUAAUAAAUUUCGUCCUCGAAAUUUACCUAAGAAGAGAUGAGGAUAUUGUGCUCUCAUCGUCUCUUCCGGUUCCCAAGUUGCUUCUUCCACACUAUGGCUUCUCCAUAAAACUUUUACUAAAGGAACCCGUUUAUUUCUUAAUUCUUUCACAUCUCGUGCUAAUAUUUGAACUGGUUCUUCUUCAUAAGUUAAAUCAGAUCGAAGUUCAAUGUCUUCAGUGGGAAUAACAUGAGAAGGAUCCGAUCUAUAUCUCCGAAGCAUCGAAACAUGAAAAACAUCAUGAAUUUUCUGUAACUCUGGAGGUAAGGCUAAUUGAUAAGCAACAGGCCCAAUUCUUUCCACUAUCUCAUACGGCUCAAUAAAGCGUGGACUUAAUUUUCCCUUCCGACCAAAUCUCAAAAUUUUCUUUCACGGCGAUACUUUGAGGAAUACCUUAUCACCAACGGAAUAUUCAAUGUCUCGUCGUUUCAAGUCUGCGUAAGAUUUCUGUCUGUCGAAAGCGGCUUUCAGUCUAUCUUUAAUCUUUUUAACUGUUUCUUCUGUCUCUUGAAUCAAUUCCGGCCCAAUCACUUUUCUUUCUCUUAAUUCUGUCCAACAUAUUGGUGAUCGACACCUUCGACCAUAAAGUGCUUCAUACGGAGCCAUUUGAAUACUAGAUUGGAAACUAUUAUUAUAAACAAACUCGGCCAAUGGUAAAUAACGUUCCCAACCUGAUUCAAAAUCAAUGACACAAGCUCGAAGCAUAUCUUCUAAUAUCUGAAUUACUCGUUCAGAUUGUCCAUCAGUUUGAGGAUGAAAAGCUGUACUUAAACUAAGUCGAGUACCCAAUGAUUCAUGCAGCUGCUUCCAAAAUCUCGAAGUGAAUCGAGGAUCUCUGUCUGAAAUUAUUGAUACCGGAAUACCAUGUAAUCUAACAAUUUCUCGAAUAUAAACCUCGGCAAGCUUCUGUAAUGACCAGUCGGUUCUAACUGCUAUAAAAUGAACUGAUUUUGUGAGUCGAUCAACAAUCACCCAAAUAACAUUCUUUUUACUCACUGACAAUGGCAACCCCGUAACAAAAUCCAUGGUAAUGCGAUCCCAUUUCCACUCGGGAAUAGUAAUAGGCUGUAACAGACCUGUUGGUACCUGAUGUUCUGCUUUUACCCGCUGACAAGUCAAGCAUUUACUGACAUAUUCAACUAUAUCUUUCUUCAUUCCUGGCCACCAAUACAGUUCUCGUAGAUCACGAUACAUCUUCGUUCCUCCUGGGUGCAAAGUAAAAAUACUAUCAUGUGCUUCUCGGAGAAUCAAUUCUUUAAUCUCAGAAGUAGAUGGAACACAAAUUCGAUUUCGAAAUCUCAAACAAUCAUGCUCGUCAAUACUAAAAUUUUCUAUCGCACCAUACUGUACCAUUUCUCUUUUCCUCAUCAACUUUUCAUUUUUUAACUGUGCUGCUCUGAUUUGAUCAAACAUCACCGGCUUGACUCUUAACUCAGCUAACAAACUUCCAUCAUCCUUAAUACUAAGUCGAGCGAACAUUGCCCGUAAUUCAACCGCUGCUUUUCUACUCAAUGCAUCUGCUACCACAUUUGCCUUCCCUGGAUGAUAAUCUAUAACACAAUCAUAAUCUUUCAGAAGUUCAAUCCACCGUCUCUGUCUCAGAUUCAACUCCUUUUGUGACAGAAGAUAUUUAAGACUUUUAUGAUCAGUGUAAAUAUAACAUUUCUCACCAUACAAGUAAUGUCUCCAAAUCUUCAAUGCAAAGAUUACAGCAGCUAACUCUAAAUCGUGUGUCGGGUAGUUGCGUUCAUGUGACUUCAACUGUCGAGAUGCAUAAGCUAUUACUUUUCCUUCUUGCAUCAAUACACAACCCAAACCAUUCAAAGAAGCAUCACUGUACACUAUGAAAUCUUUCCCCGAUUCUGGUAAAGUUAAAACUGGUGCCUCUGUCAACAUUUGUUUCAAUGUUUCAAAGCUCCUCUGACACUGAUCAUCCCAGAUAAAUGGAAUAUUCUUCUGUAGUAAUUUGGUCAUCGGAAAAGCUAUCUUCGAAAACCCAUUUACAAAUCUUCUGUAAUACCCAGCCAAACCAAGAAAACUGCGUACCUCUGAUACAUUCUUUGGUGCCUUCCAUUGAACAAUUGCCUCGAUCUUCUUCGGAUCAACUCUAAUCCCAUCCGCAGAUACAACAUGUCCCAAGAAUACUACCUCUGAUAACCAGAAUUCACAUUUACUUAGUUUCCCGUACAACUGUUUUUCUCGCAGAAUUUGUAGCACGGUUCUGAGAUGCUGAUCAUGCUCUGACUUUGACUUCGAAUAAACCAAGAUGUGAUCAAUAAAAACCACCACAAACUGAUCUAAAUACGGCUGAAAAAUACGAUUCAUCAGAUCCAUAAAAGCAGCUGGAGCAUUAGUCAACCCGAACGGCAUCACCAAAAAUUCAUAAUGACCAUAUCGAGUACGAAAUGCAGUCUUCGGAACAUCACUUUCUUUUACUUUCAGCUGAUAAUACCCAGAUCUUAAGUCAAUUUUUGAAAAUACUGAAGCUCCUUUUAGCUGAUCAAAUAAAUUAUCUAUACAGGGUAACGGAUACCGGUUCUUGAUCGUCACUUUGUUUAACUGCCGGUAAUCAAUACAAAGCCGCAUCGAUCCAUCUUUCUUUUUAACAAACAAUACUGGAGCUCCCCAAGGUGAAAUGCUCGGUCUAAUAAAUUCACGAUCUAACAAGUCCUGUAACUGCACUUUCAACUCUUUUAACUCAGUGGGCGACAUUCGAUACGGUGGUAUAGAGAUUGGUGCUGUACCCAGAUACACUUCUAUAGCAAAUUCAACCUCUCUGUCAGGUGGUAAACCCGGUAGCUCUUCAGGAAAUACAUCUGGAAACUCACAUACGGUUCUGAUCUUACUGCACUGACUACCAACCAAAUCAGAAUUAAUAACAUAGGCUAAAUACGCUGUACAACCCUGCUGAAGCAAUUUAUUAGCCUUUAUUGCCGAAAUAAUACGUGCCGGCCCAUUAGUACGGAUACCAUUUACCUCAAUUCUGUCCCCGUCUUCUGUCUGAAUACUAAACUUCUUUUUAUAACAAUCCAAUACCACUCCGUGCUCAGCCAACCAAUCCAUCCUCAGUAUUAUAUCAAAAUCUCCAAAUGGCAUAAUCAACAGGUCAAUAGGAAAAGUUUUAUUUUGUAUAAUUAACGGGCAUCUCGGACAGACAUGAUUCACUAAUACUGUUUGCCCCAACGGACUCGACACUUCUACAGUCACUCUAGAUAUUUCAGAAUUAAAUUUUCCCAAUUCAACUAAUUUUGAAUUUAUAUAAGAAUGUGAAGAUCCGAGAUCAAUUAAAGCAUAAACAGGCUCAGAAUAUAGUAAGAAUAUACCUGUUACUACAUCGUGGGCGUCACAUUCUUCCCGUGUUCUGACCACAUAAGCUCUGGCAGGUACUUUAGCCUCAGACUGCUGAGUAGCAAUAUCACUGCUUCUCCUAAUACUUCCACCCCUUGAAACCGAACCACCUCUUCCUAACCCUCUGCCUCUAGCUGUAGAUACCGAUCUCUGUGAUGUCACGGGUACAGUACUAUCAACUUUCGGACAGUCUCUGAUGAAAUGGUCUGUAGAACCACAUCGAAAACAGCCUCUAGUUAAUUUCCAACAUUCCCCUCUGUGUUUCUUUCCGUAGUGUUGGCAGUCUGGAAUAUCUAUUUCUCGGGAAGGACCUCUCACACUGCCAGUAGAUAUCAUCGUCUGUUUUCCCCUACUUCUACCACCUCUGUCUGACCUGAAACUGGAUCUCCAACCACUUUGGAAUUCCUUUGGUCUUUUCGGCUGAGGAUUCGAACUGGUAGUUCCUGUACGCUUCUCGGUUGGUCUAACAACUUCAGUCUUUUUGUCGAGGCCCAGAAUUUGUUCCACCAUUUUAGCUCGUUCAAUCAAAUCUACUAACUCAGUGAUCCGAUGAGAUACUAGCUGCACUUUGAUCUCGUCUCGUAAACCCCGUAAAAAUCUUUUACAACUAUCGGCUUCUGUCGGAAUAAACUCGGAGGCAUAUCUGCUGAGUCUCGAGAAUUCCCUCUCAUAAUCUAUUACUGACAUAUCACCCUGUUGUAGCAACAAAAACUCUUGUUUCUUGUCUUCAAUAUACAUCUCUCCGAUAUAUUUCUUUUGAAAUUCCUUCUGAAAUAGAUCCCACGUUAUCUGACUCUCUGGUAAAUGUCGAACCACUGAUUCCCACCAUAGAUAAGCCUCCCCUUGUAACAACGAUACGGCACAGAUUAAACACUCUCGGGGGGUACAAUCCAAUUGCUGCAAAAUUCUUUUAGUCGACUCCAUCCAAUUUUCAUCUGUGGAUGGAUCAACUCCUUUUAGACCCAUAAAUUCAGUGGCACCAUAUUUCCUCAGUUCCUUUAUCGGAGCCCGUCUAACAGUAGGUACUGAAGUCGUAACAGGAGUAGUUCCUGCUACUCUUUGUAAUGCAUCUGCUAUAAUUUUCAGUAAUUGGGAUUCAUCUCUAUCUCUGACAUUUUCUCGUUCUACAUUAGAAGGUUGGUUGCCUAACGGAUUCACACUCGGUGCAACAGAUUCUGUUUCAUCUAAUUCUCUAUCUUUAGUAUACAUUCUUUCAUCAGUAUCAUUUAUUCUUUCUUCAGACAUCUUUAAUCUAUAAAACAAAACAAACAAAUAGGUCAGCAUCCAAAAAUCCCGACUCAGUUUAACUCGACAGUGGCAUGUACAUCUAGACUCAAUUUCGAGCUCGAUUUAGGCCGAGAAUCGGCUAAACCUGAUAGCUCUGAUACCACAAAAUGUAACACCCCUUAACCCCGAACCGUCGCCGGAACAGAAUUACGAGGCAUUACUGGAUGUAUCGAACGAUUUACAACAAUUCUUAAAUAAAUAACCAAUAUAUUAAAAUAAUUCAUAAAAUUUAUUAGUUUGUUUACCAAAUGACUUCAUUUUUUUUAAUAAAAAUUUCAGCAGCAUUUCUGCUUAUUUUUACAUAAAACCCACUGCAAAUUAAAACCAUAUAGUUCCCAAAUAUCACCAAUUCAACCAAUUCAUUUCACAUUCACAUUUUCUAUUCUAAAUACUUCUAAUCAAACUCAAUCUACACAAUAUCAAUUUAAAAUUUAACAAUGUACUAAUUAGAUAAAAUAGAUAGACUUCUUUCAUUAAAAUCCAUAAACUUUUAAUACUAACAUUUUUAACCAUUAUAUAUUAAAACAUAAUAACCUUUAUACACAAUCUAUGUACAUGCCACCUUUACCAAAGGAAAAAUACAUCACCAAGUUUUGCCGAAGCCGGGAUUAAUCUGGAUGCUGAACCGGGACCUUUGACUUCUAUCGACCUGCGCACGGAAACAACCGUACGCUGAGUAAUUCAUACUCAGUGGUAUUACCAUAAUUCAAAUUAUAACAAUAAUGUACAUGUAAUGCAUAAAUCGUAUAUACAAUUUAAAUUCAAUAUUUCAACAAUAGCAAUUCAUCAACCAAUAUCGUAUAUCCACAAUUUGAGUUUGAAUAAAUCACGAACCUUAGGUUCAUUUCUCAAUCUCAUUUCACAUUUCAAUUCACAAUUCAACUUUUUCAUAUCAUUUCAAUAGCUCGUUUGACCAACUCGUUCGGUUUAUCAUUUCAUCAUUUACCCUAUUAACAAAACUCGGACUUUUGCGGAUACACGGAUCUAACCAAACACACCAGAAUGGCACCCAGUGUCUCAUCGGAUAGUUCGAAGCAAUAGUUGACACCCAGUGUCUCAUCGGCAAAGCCGAAGAAAGUUGGUACCCAGUACCUCAUUGAAUCUAUCCGAAGAAAUAUAGUGACACCCAGUGUCUCAUCGACUCGAGGUCGAAGUAUCCCUGAACUCUUCCAAUCCUAUGGCAUGCCAACUAUAUCCGACUCAGCCCGACUAGUUAAUAGGGUAUUUAAAUCACAUAUAUUCUCAAUUCAAUCACAAUUUCUCACACUUUCAAUUCAAUCAUUUUUCCACCUUCAAUCAAUAAUUAUUUCAC